AAAGCCGUAUAUCGUGUAAACUUCAAAUUAAAAAAUUAUUUGAAGAUGGCAUCUGAUUGUAGAUGACGGAACAAACGAGUGUAUGUGACGUCAUCCAACAACAGGCCAGCUCAGCUGAUGUAUCCCUCUGAAAUCAGUGUGAAAUAAGGACCCCGCCGCUCCAAGAAAUGUACAUGAACACGCAAGUUUCGUUUAGAGAACUUGGAAACGCACAACUGACAGAAGACAUUGUUACCUUAAAUGUGGCUAUUGUAAACACAUAUAGCAUGUACAGCAUCCAUUGCACAUAGAUCUAUCGUAAACCGUCAUGUUCCAUUGCGCGACGUGCUUUUCCUGCCAUGUAAUCUUACUGUGGCGUCCUGUAGUAAAUUGCAGGUGUUAUGCAGGUACAACAUUUGUGAUGAAAUAUUCAUGCCUCGGCUGUACGUCAAUAGAUUACAGCAGCUAUUGUAUCUCAUAUUGCAAGGGUCGAACAUGCGCAGGUUGUCGAGUGGAAUGACAUUGAUAUUAACGUGAACAUUACAGAGGCAGAUGGAGCGCAGUGGAACGAGGUAUACAGUUUCCCUGAAAGUUUAUGAACAUUUUGCCUUCAGUAUUUCAUUACAAAUAUAUAACUAAACAA
Long non-coding RNA from Haliotis rufescens (red abalone), 622 nucleotides. RefSeq lists it as uncharacterized. NCBI's taxonomy places the organism in Eukaryota, Metazoa, Mollusca, Gastropoda, Lepetellida, Haliotidae. The record is from RefSeq and is a predicted model, not a curated record. The transcript has 2 exons.